AACCUAGCACACCUGCGGUGUGUACCUGCGGAGGGAUCAUUACCGAGUGCGGGUCCGCGUGGCCCAACCUCCCACCCGUGCCUAUUGUACCCUGUUGCUUCGGCGGGCCCGCCAGCCUUCGGGCUGGCCGCCGGGGGGCGUCUCGCCCCCGGGCCCGUGCCCGCCGGAGACCCCAACAUGAACCCUGUUCUGAAAGCUUGGUGUCUGAGUGUGAUUGUUUGCAAUCAGUUAAAACUUUCA
Molecule: unclassified non-coding RNA, 240 nt
Filed under: soil metagenome
Description: partial contains 5.8S ribosomal RNA, internal transcribed spacer 2, and large subunit ribosomal RNA
Source: RNAcentral